GACGAACGCUGGCGGCGUGCUUAACACAUGCAAGUCGAACGGAAAGGCCUGCUUUCCCUUGUGGAUUGCGGGUGCUCGAGUGGCGAACGGGUGAGUAACACGUGAGUGAUCUGCCCCCAACUUGGGUAUAAGCCUGGGAAACUGGGUCUAAUUCCCGAUAGGACUGCAGGGUGGUGCCUGUGGUGGAAAACGAUUUUCUAGUGGUUGGGGAUGAGCUCGCGGCCUAUCAGCUUGUUGGUGGGGUAAUGGCCUACCAAGGCGGCGACGGGUAGCCGGCCUGAGAGGGUGGACGGCCACAUUGGGACUGAGAUACGGCCCAGACUCCUACGGGAGGCAGCAGUGGGGAAUAUUGCACAAUGGGCGGAAGCCUGAUGCAGCGACGCCGCGUGGGGGAUGACGGCCUUCGGGUUGUAAACUCCUUUCGACCGCGAGGAAGCCACCUGGGCGGAAGGGUGGUGACGGUAGUGGUAGAAGAAGCACCGGCUAACUACGUG
This 494-nucleotide ribosomal RNA is filed under the name uncultured bacterium. RNAcentral describes it as "partial 16S ribosomal RNA". It matches the Rfam family "Bacterial small subunit ribosomal RNA", at positions 28 to 507 of the family's 1533-position model. The record is from RNAcentral.